GGAACAUGACCAGAUGUAUGUGGACAGCUGCAAGAACAAAGGAUUCUGGCACUAAGAAGUUUGCAAUAACCAGCAACACCUCCUCUCCUUUUGGUAUGAAAGAUGUCUGAAUUCUAACUCAGAUGUCAGUGCUCCUGGUCUCAUGCUUUUGGACACAGAGUGGGACUUACCAUCAGACCCAUGAAUCUCAGUACUUCAGACUUGGACUGAAUUACACCACUGACUUUCCUGUUCUCCAGCUUGCAGAGAGUAAAUCAUGGAACUUCUCAGCCUCCAUGAUCACAUGAGGUGAUUCCAUAACUAUCUAUCUGUCUGUCUGUCUGUCUGUCUGUCUGUCUAUCUAUCUAUCUAUCUAUCUAUCUAUCUAUCUAUCUAUCUAUCUAUCUAUCUAUCUAUCUAUCUUUCUAUUUGUCCAUCCAUGCUAUUGUUUCUGUUUCUGUGGAGAACUCUGGAUAAUGCAUAUUUGGGUACUGAGAGUGAUUAUAUUUUAUUAUUUUUAUUUUUGGCUGGACCCAUGGCAUCCGGGUGAGGGAUUGAAUCUGCAUCACAGCAGUGACCCAAGUCACAGCAGUGACAAUGAUGGAUCCUUAACUUACUGUGCCACCUGGGAACUCUGAAAGUGGUUCUAGAAGAACCACAUUUUUGUAAAAAUUCAAUUAUUUAUUUAUUUAUUUAUUUAUUUGGUCUUUUUGCUAUUUCUUUGGGCUGCUCCCGAGGCAUAUGGAGGUUCCCAGGCUAGGGGUCAAAUCGGAGCUGUAGCCCCUGGCCUACGCCAGAGCCACAGCAAUGGGGGAUCAGAGCCGCGUCUGCAACUUACACCACAGCUCACGGAAACGCUGGAUCGUCAACCCACUGAGCAAGGGCAGGGACUGAACCCGCAACCUCAUGGUUCCUAGUCGGAUUCGUUAACCACUGCGCCACGACGGGAACUCCGUAGAAGAACCACAUUUUUAAGGAAGAGUUUUCUGAAUUUGUACUUGUGUUAUUGGAAUUGGCUGUCUAAUAUGAUUACAUUUAAAAAUGCUAAUGGAUCUAUUUCUUCUUUUUUUUGUCUUUUUAGGGCCACACCCAUGGCAUAUGGAAGUUCCCAGGCACAGGGUCAAAUCAGAGUUGCAGCUGCCAGCCUAUGCACAACCACAGCAACAACAGAUCUGAGUCGUGUCUGCAACCUACCCCACAGUGCAUGGCAACGCUGGAUCCUUAACCCACUGAGCAUUUAGCCAUAGCCAUGGUCAAGAUUCAUGGGUCCAGAAUCCUACCAAGGGGUAGAAAUGGGAGUGGCACUACCCCUUUUUACCUCUAGUGAUCUGCUGACAAAAUUUUUAUUUCCUAUCCUUGUGACCUUAUGCUCUGAUGCCCUAGAGGCCUCAGUUCCAAGGGGAGGAAUGAUUCCACUAGGAGGUGCAAUGGCAAUUUCAUUAAAAGGAAAGUAAAGACUGCUGCCCCACCACUCUGGUCUUAUUGUGGCUCCGAAGCAAUAGGCAAAGAAGGGAGUUACUGUGCUGGCUGAGGUGACUGAUCCUGACUACCAGGGGGAUAUUGGACUAUUUCUCCACAGUGGAGGUAAGGAAGAGUAUGGUUUUUUUAAAAAUUAUUUUUUUUCCAUUAUAGCUGGUUUAUAGUGUUUUGUCAAUUUUCUACAGUACAGCAAAGAGACCCAGUCAUACAUACAUAUAUACAUUCUUUUUCUCACAUUAUCCUCCAUCAUGCUCCAUCAUAGGUGACUAGAUAUAGUUCCCAGUGCUAUACAGCAGGAUCUCAUUGCCUAUCUAUUCCAAAGGCAAUAGUUUGCAUCUAUUAACCCCAGAUACCCAGUCCAUCCCUCUCCCUCCCCUUAGGCAACCAUAAGUCUAUUCUCCAAGUCCAUGAGUUUCUUUUCUGUGGAAAGGUUCAUUUGUGCUGUAUAUUAGAUUCUGGAUGUGUGAUAUCAUAUGGUAUUGGUCUUUCUUUUAAGGAAGAAUAUGUUUUGAAUACAGGAAAUUCCUUAGUAUUAUAUUACCAUGCCUUGUGAUUAAAGACAAUGGAAAAUUAUAAGAAUCCAAUUCAGGCAGAACUACUAAUAUCCCAGACCAUUCAAAAAUGAAGGUUUCAGCCAUCCCAUCAAGCAAUAUUGAUGUAUUUGUGAGUUCAUUUAUUCUAUAUAUCUUUGUGCCUUCAUAAAGAGAAAAUUCACCUAUAUUUUUCUAAAAUAUAUAUAGGAAUUCUCUGUAUAUCCUUUACAUGAGUAAUGCAUGGUUUCCUUUCAAAGGUUCCUUUUGAGGAAUAAAAUUGUUAAUUUCAAGUAAUUACAAUUCAUCAAAAUUUAAUUUCAAAGGUCGUGCAUUUUGUAACCUGUUAAAAGAUCUUUGCAGGUCCCAAAUCAUGAAGAUAUAUGAUCCUGUUUUUUUUUUUUUCUAGUGAUGUUAUCGAAUUGUUCUUCCCAUUAGUUUGGUGACCCAUUUCAAAUUAAUAUUUUGUGUGUUGUAAGAUAAUAGUCAAGGUUUGUUUCUUUCCAAAUUGAAAAGAACAGUCUUUCCCCACUGAACUACAGUGGCAUGUAAAAAAAAUACACAGUGUUUAGAAGUAUUUCUAGACUUUCUAUUUUGUUGCACUGUUCUAUGUGUCUAUUCUUAUGCAGACACAAAACUGAGUUACUACAGACUUGUAGCAAUGCUUGGUAAAUGAUAGUGUAAUAUAACAACUUUGUUCUUCAAGAUUGGGUUUGCUAUGCUUUGCAUUUACAUAUAAAUUUUAGCAGAGGCACGUCAAUAUCCACACCAGUAAAAUCUGAUUUGAUUUUAAUCAAUUCCUGAUUAGUUGCAUAUCUAAAUGGACAUGUACCUAUAAAUAUUUAGAAUAGUGCCAGAGUCAUAAGAAGCAAUCAAACCAUUAUAUUUCUCCAGAACUGUACCUCAAUUUAUAUACUCAAACCACCAGCAAAUAUCGAAUGUAUAAAAUCAUUUUUUUGAAUGAUAGUUUUUUUUAUACAUACAGUGCAGACAAUUGAGACAACGAAUUAUAAAUUUUUUCAGGAGCAAGAUUAGUACUUAAUUGUAAAGGAGCAUAAAAUAUAUUCUUAAACUUGCCUAUGGGUAUAGGUAAAGCAUACCCAAACACUUCAAUGUGAAGCCCACAAUUAUAUUCACACAUCCAUUUGCAACACAUUCAAAACCUUAAAAGUUGGUCUCAUAUUAUGGUUAACUUCAGAAUUGCAAAACAUACUGGCAUUUCAUCAGACAUAGUGCCUUUUCCUGUGAGCAACCCAUAAAAUAGUAAUAAAAAGCACUUUGCAACCAGCAAGAAAUUCAUACUGCAUGGCUCCUUUAUACCUUAUUGGCAAUGGGAUAAGGGACCUAGAAAUCCAAAGUGGGAAAAAGACAGGUUGAAGCUGAAAACCAAAUAAUGGGCAGUUAAUACCAUUGUAUACCAAUCUUUCUUGCCACAGAUUAACUCCUCCUAGCAUUUCCUAGAAUGACCCUAAAAUCACUAGAAGAACAACUGUUGCUUGCUAAUAAGAUUUUUUUUCAUUAACACACUGGCUCUUGCUGCUCCUAUUGACCAUUCUUAAUUGUGUGAUUCCCCAAAAGUUCCAACGAAGGAACUGGCGAAAAACAAAUAUUCACACAUCUGAAUCAAGUCUAACCUCCUCACAUGAGGAUGACAUGCUCAGGUUUAUUUCAAUUGCUAUUUUUGGAGCCUCUGAGGAAUUCUUUUGCUUUUCCUCCUUCCUCUUUUGAUGGCUCUUCUCUUUUUCCUACUCACGUGGUAGCUCUUCUUCUGGCACACAGCGGGCCUGUGUGGUAUCAGGGCUGAGGUUCAAUUGACUGAGGUCCUGUACUAGCGUUUUCCAAGAGGAUGAAUUCUGCCCUUCAGGAUUCCCAGAAACAGUCUCUUUUUGGAUCUGGCAGUAAUGACAUUUACAUUUAUUCCAAUCUUUAUUAUAUAAGGAAGAGAUUUUUC
Molecule: long non-coding RNA, 3939 nt
Filed under: Sus scrofa (pig)
Lineage: Eukaryota; Metazoa; Chordata; Mammalia; Artiodactyla; Suidae
Description: lncRNA (ENSSSCG00055011951.1)
Source: RNAcentral